CCGGAGAGACUGCCAGCUCUCAUAUUAAUAUCAUCAUCAAGGAUCUUCAAGUCCUGAUGUAAUUGUAUGAUGAGGAUCAAGGAACUUCUGGUCCUGAUCUGCAUACUGUAAAAAACUCAUCAUACAACACAUUUAGUCCAUAAAAUAAAUUGCUUGUAAAUAAAUUACUGGUAUGGACGAUAAACCCGCACCACACUUUAAAUAAAUGUAAAUGUGCGGUAAAAUAAAUUCAUAAAUUAAAUUGCUUGCUGUAUGGACGUUAAUCCCGCACCAUACCUUAAAUAAAAUUAAAUGUGCGGUAAAGUAAACGUGCUUGUAUGGGCACUAAUCCUGCUCCAUACAUAAAAGCAAAGGCGUGGGCGAUAAACCCGCACCACCCUUUUAAAUAAAUACUGUUGUAUGGGUAAUAAACCUACACCAUACAGUAAAUAAAAUAAAUGUGCGGUAAAGUAAAUUUGCAGUAAAUUAAACGUGCUUGUAUGGGCACUAAUUCUGCUCCAUACAUUUAAAUAAAAUUAAAGGCGUGGGCGAUAAACCCGCACCACCCUUUUAAAUAAAUACUGUUGUAUGAGUAAUAAACCUACACCAUACAGUAAAUAAAAUAAAUGUGCGGUAAAGUAAAUUCAUAAAGUAAAUUUCAUAAAGUAAAGUGUUAGGAUUAGUAACGGUUUCCCACUGAUAAUAUGUUUAGUAUUACCGAGGGUCCAUUUUUGUUAAUGGUUAGUAAAAGAAAAGCAGAUAAAUAUAAUAGGAAAUAAUAGAGGAGAUAAGGGAGCAGAAAACUUAACGCUUAUGCUCUUG
Molecule: long non-coding RNA, 801 nt
Filed under: Prunus persica (peach)
Lineage: Eukaryota; Viridiplantae; Streptophyta; Magnoliopsida; Rosales; Rosaceae
Description: long non-coding RNA (PPER_LNC005394)
Source: RNAcentral